Molecule: ribosomal RNA, 1346 nt
Filed under: uncultured bacterium
Lineage: Bacteria
Description: bacterial SSU rRNA
Rfam family: Bacterial small subunit ribosomal RNA
Source: RNAcentral
GACGAACGCUGGCGGCGUGCUUAACACAUGCAAGUCGAACGGAAAGGCCCUGCUUUUGUGGGGUGCUCGAGUGGCGAACGGGUGAGUAACACGUGAGUAACCUGCCCUUGACUUUGGGAUAACUUCAGGAAACUGGGGCUAAUACCGGAUAGGAGCUCCUGCUGCAUGGUGGGGGUUGGAAAGUUUCGGCGGUUGGGGAUGGACUCGCGGCUUAUCAGCUUGUUGGUGGGGUAGUGGCUUACCAAGGCUUUGACGGGUAGCCGGCCUGAGAGGGUGACCGGCCACAUUGGGACUGAGAUACGGCCCAGACUCCUACGGGAGGCAGCAGUGGGGAAUAUUGCACAAUGGGCGGAAGCCUGAUGCAGCAACGCCGCGUGCGGGAUGACGGCCUUCGGGUUGUAAACCGCUUUCGCCUGUGACGAAGCGUGAGUGACGGUAAUGGGUAAAGAAGCACCGGCUAACUACGUGCCAGCAGCCGCGGUGAUACGUAGGGUGCGAGCGUUGUCCGGAUUUAUUGGGCGUAAAGGGCUCGUAGGUGGUUGAUCGCGUCGGAAGUGUAAUCUUGGGGCUUAACCCUGAGCGUGCUUUCGAUACGGGUUGACUUGAGGAAGGUAGGGGAGAAUGGAAUUCCUGGUGGAGCGGUGGAAUGCGCAGAUAUCAGGAGGAACACCAGUGGCGAAGGCGGUUCUCUGGGCCUUUCCUGACGCUGAGGAGCGAAAGCGUGGGGAGCGAACAGGCUUAGAUACCCUGGUAGUCCACGCUGUAAACGGUGGGUACUAGGUGUGGGGUCCAUUCCACGGGUUCCGUGCCGUAGCUAACGCUUUAAGUACCCCGCCUGGGGAGUACGGCCGCAAGGCUAAAACUCAAAGGAAUUGACGGGGCCCCGCACAAGCGGCGGAGCAUGCGGAUUAAUUCGAUGCAACGCGUAGAACCUUACCUGGGUUUGACAUGGAUCGGGAGUGCUCAGAGAUGGGUGUGCCUCUUUUGGGGUCGGUUCACAGGUGGUGCAUGCCUGUCGUCAGCUCGUGUCGUGAGAUGUUGGGUUAAGUCCCGCAACGAGCGCAACCCUUGUUCACUGUUGCCAGCACGUUAUGGUGGGGACUCAGUGGAGACCGCCGGGGUCAACUCGGAGGAAGGUGGGGAUGACGUCAAGUCCUCAUGCCCCUUAUGUCCAGGGCUUCACGCAUGCUACAAUGGCUGGUACAGAGAGUGGCGAGCCUGUGAGGGUGAGCGAAUCUCGGAAAGCCGGUCUCAGUUCGGAUUGGGGUCUGCAACUCGACCUCAAGAAGUCGGAGUCGCUAGUAAUCGCAGAUCAGCAACGCUGCGGUGAAUACGUUCCCGGGGCU